AUGAUUGGAACUGGAACAUGGCGUGAUAGACUGUGGUAUAUUGAUCAAGGAGAAACCGCGCUCGUUGUGGCUGUAGGAGGUGUUGAGGCAGAGAUUUUGUUGUAUCAUUGUCGCCUAGGACAUCUUUCUUUUGGGAGUUUGAGUCUUUUGUGUCCUGAGUUAUUUAAGAAAGCAAAUCAAAGCAAAUUAGUGUGUGAUGCUUGUGAGUUUGGCAAACAUACCCGAGUAACUUAUCCUAGUACUGGUCUCCGAAGUAAUGAGCCGUUCUUAUUAAUUCAUUCCGAUGUUUGGGGUCCUUGUUCUGUUACCUCUGUGAGUGGUUUCAGAUGGUUUGUCACAUUCAUUGAUUGUCACACUCGGAUGACGUGGAUCUACUUGAUGAAGCAUAAGAGUGAAGUUCUGACAUGCUUCCAGGACUUCCACAAAAUGGUGGCCACUCAAUUUGACAAGAAGGUUCGAAUUCUUCGCUCGGAUAAUGGGACAGGGUAUAUUAAUUAUGUUUUUGAUGCUUAUCUCUGA
RNAcentral lists this ribosomal RNA (519 nucleotides) under Triticum aestivum (bread wheat). Its description in RNAcentral is "partial small subunit ribosomal RNA". The record is from RNAcentral. Lineage: Eukaryota; Viridiplantae; Streptophyta; Magnoliopsida; Poales; Poaceae.